UACGGAGGGCGCAAGCGUUGUUCGGAAUCACUGGGCGUAAAGCGCGUGUAGGCGGCUUGGUAAGUCGGGUGUGAAAUCCCGGGGCUCAACCCCGGAACUGCACUCGAAACUGCCUCGCUAGAGUCCCGGAGAGGGUGGUGGAAUUCCCGGUGUAGAGGUGAAAUUCGUAGAUAUCGGGAGGAACACCAGUGGCGAAGGCUGCCACCUGGACGGUGACUGACGCUGAGACGCGAAAGCGUGGGGAGCAAACAGG
This 253-nucleotide ribosomal RNA is filed under the name uncultured bacterium. RNAcentral describes it as "partial 16S ribosomal RNA". It matches the Rfam family "Bacterial small subunit ribosomal RNA", at positions 524 to 776 of the family's 1533-position model. The record is from RNAcentral.